UGCAGGAGGCAGAACACACCACUGCACGAGCCGCCAGACCGGACGCCACCUCAUGUUACAGGACAAUACUGAUGAACUCAGACUGGUUCGAGCAGCUCAUGCUUGGAACAUGGGAUCAUGACUGUUGGGGGACACUGCAGUCUCUCCCUGGCUGCCCCUCUUCAGGGCCAGAACUACAUUCCAGGGUCCCUCACCACCAAUCCUGAUGGAGCACUCGCUGUGAAAAUGUGGCAAGGUGCUCCAGGCUCCAGCUGUGUUCUUCCUUCUCACACCUGAGGUCAGAUCUUCAAAGAUAAGAAGCAACAUGCAACAUGAGCAGCAGACAUUUCAUACUGAGGAAAAAUACUUCCAUGUCAGAUUAGGACCUGUUAAAUGACAAAAGAGGCUUCAUCUAUCUUUUAGCUGAACAGAAGAAUAGAACAGAACACAAUGAAGAAACAAAAAUGCACUUGAAGACAUGCUGUUUCAGACUAGAACAAGAUGAUCCUUAGAAUUCUAAGUAAUAAAAUACUUA
Molecule: long non-coding RNA, 514 nt
Organism: Alligator sinensis (Chinese alligator)
Lineage: Eukaryota; Metazoa; Chordata; Crocodylia; Alligatoridae
Exons: 4
Source: RefSeq, a predicted model, not a curated record